UUCUUAUUCCUGGAGCAAGCCUCAAAAACC
Molecule: non-coding RNA, 30 nt
Filed under: Rattus norvegicus (Norway rat)
Lineage: Eukaryota; Metazoa; Chordata; Mammalia; Rodentia; Muridae
Source: RNAcentral